RNAcentral lists this ribosomal RNA (253 nucleotides) under uncultured bacterium. RNAcentral describes it as "partial 16S ribosomal RNA". It matches the Rfam family "Bacterial small subunit ribosomal RNA", at positions 524 to 776 of the family's 1533-position model. RNAcentral also lists the same sequence under 1 other name. The record is from RNAcentral.
GACGAACCGUGCGAACGUUGUUCGGAAUCACUGGGCUUAAAGGGCGCGUAGGCGGGCCACCAAGUCUGGGGUGAAAGCCCCCGGCUCAACCGGGGAAUUGCCUGAGAUACUGGUGGUCUGGAGGGAGGUAGGGGCAGCGGGAACUUCCGGUGGAGCGGUGAAAUGCGUUGAUAUCGGAAGGAACGCCGGUGGCGAAAGCGCGCUGCUGGACCUCUUCUGACGCUGAGGCGCGAAAGCUAGGGGAGCGAACGGG